This 604-nucleotide long non-coding RNA is filed under the name Aquilegia coerulea. RNAcentral describes it as "long non-coding RNA (ACOE_LNC001954)". Lineage: Eukaryota; Viridiplantae; Streptophyta; Magnoliopsida; Ranunculales; Ranunculaceae. The record is from RNAcentral.
AACAACGCAAAGAACAUGUCAUCCACUUUCAUGCCUUCUACUUGGUACAGUCUAUUUCUAACAUGUUUAUCAUUUGCUUGUUAGAUUGUCAAAUGAGAAAUCAGAAGCAAGAACCUCUGAAGCAUCAUUGGAAGUGAACUCUAGUACCCUAUCAAUUAACUCUGAGGUAUUUUGCAAAAAAUAUUUUACAGUAACAUUUGGUUUUGUUUGUGUUUUGACAUUAGCAGAUACUCUACUGAAUUUUAUUUGCUACCAUACUCCAUUGAUUUUGGUUGUGAUUAUUAGGAAUAAAUGAAGAGCAAAGUAAGUCUGCAGUAAAAGAAGAUUACUCGAUUCUAUGAGAUUGACGCCUACUAGAAAGAGUGAGUGACUUCCUCAAUCUGUGCAUAGAUUGUUACGACUUGAUGCGGAAGUGGUGGAAAUACUGUAUAAGCUUGACAUACUGCUUAUGGUUCAUUGCUGGCUUUCCAUCGAAACAUUAAUGUGUAUGUAAGUCCUGUUUGACCCUAUUUAAGAAUCAUUGUCGUGGUUCUUCAAAUCAUAAAUGUUGUAGCAUAUGUCAAUAUAAGUUACCCUGUAGAUUAUAUUCAUUCCAAAAUUUGCA